RNAcentral lists this long non-coding RNA (753 nucleotides) under Rattus norvegicus (Norway rat). RNAcentral's name for it is "long non-coding RNA NONRATT033355". The record is from RNAcentral. Lineage: Eukaryota; Metazoa; Chordata; Mammalia; Rodentia; Muridae.
GUGAAACUGAGCAAUGCUGUACCAACACCUCAGUUACAUUUGAUUUUGAAUUAAUUUUGGACCUUUAGGGGUCGGUGCCUUUUACUGUUGCCAUAUCUCUGUACGGUUACGCAAUCCCAUAUGGCAUUGCAACCCUCCGUUUAAGAAGCUGUGAUUUAGGGUACCAGCCCUUAAGGCAGCCAAGACUUCUGUACUCACCAGAUAAUGUUCACUCCCUUCCAGCAUCUUUGACACCUUGUCUUCUCGGUGCACACCGAGGUAUAGGCUAGUGUGCCAGAGGAAAAAAUAUGUUCCUGUUCUCUAGCUCCUCCUCCAGCAAGAGUUGGUGACUGAAUUAACCAUGUGCAGCCUUAAAAACUGAGAGACAGAUGUCAUAAAGGGGGAAGAGCAGCUGACCAAGUGACUCCUCAAAGUGGCUCUACCUUAGUCCCCUCAAUGGCCUACUACUCAGAAACACAGUUCUAGUCCACGAAGAGUUGAUUUUAAAACUCAGGGGACUAAUUCAAACUGAACAGACUCAGAGACACCAAUGUCUAAACAACCAGCCGGCCAAUUCACUCGUUUACAGGUAUUCAUGCCAGCUAUCCAGGGUCAAAAUGCACAGCCCAUGGACAAGGAUUUCAUAAGCACCAAGUGUCCACUACUUAACAAACUAAAACCACGCAGCUGCUGACUACACCAGGCUGCUGCUCUCAGAAGCCUUAGGAAGGUGGAACAGGUAUUUCUAUAUUAUUUUAGUUGGACUCUGGUAUG